UGGCCGCAGACCGGGUUGGCCGCUCUCUGCUCCCCAGCCAGGGGUUCGCCCACAGCCCGGGGUCUCGCUGGUGCACGUGAUGACUAAAGCUUUUUUCCCUAUCAGAGCGACGGUGUUGAUUCCGCUGCUCUAAGCCAGAUCGUGUCUGAUGCACCAGCCCGGGGAGGCGGCCUUUGCUUUGCUCCCGCCGGAUGGUCAGCGAGACUAAAUGUCUUUCGCCUCUUCGGUCUUCUGCUUCUCAGGUCCACCAAGCAGGCGCGGGCAACAUGUGCUGGAGCCCUGGGCUGGUAGAGCAAGGCCAGGCGCGGCCCCAGGAUAGAACCAGCAGGAAGCACCGGUGCUCUGGUUAUGAACCCACUGUGUCCAUUGCCCCCUGUGACCCUCAUGGAGGAGGUAGCGGUCCAUGGCAGCAAGGUGGGAGCAACGUGAGCCUGGGAUACCUGGCUCACUGAGAGAAAGGUGCCAUGGUGACCUGAAGCAGACUUGGAAAAAGUGGUCACUGUCCUGGUUAACAAGCCACUUAUGAGCCAUUAAUAGGGGAGAGUGGGACUAUUAUGUUGUCCAUAGACAUAGACUUGAGGAUCUUCUAAAGGUGAAGGAGUUGUCAAUGUCAGCACGAAGCAGAAGUUGCCCUGUGAAGUAGCAGAAAGCUCUCCUGUUAAUAUUGGGAACAUUUGCUAAAGUGACGGCAAAAUAUCCCGAGUCUAGGCUGUUGUAUCCACAUUGCUCUGCAAUGACUUCAUGGUCAAGCUUCCCUCUUUCUGUGUGGAGUAAGAAAUACUGCAUGUCCUGCCUCCUUAAGAGAUGCCAAAGGACUUUAGUAAUUUAUUGUCUCAAAGCUCACGAGCCAUUUCAUUGGAAGGGAUGGAUCUUGAUGUCUUUUUAUGCAGUAACAUACUAUGUCAAGUGUUCUUGUGUCCAUAAUGGCUGUAUUCACCCACUGCAAGUUGGGUUCAACCCACUGCUGUAAUGUGGAAGAUUAUGAUGUACUAAAAAUCAUUAAAAGUACUGAGGUAACUUCUUAAA
This is a long non-coding RNA of Malaclemys terrapin pileata, 1026 nucleotides long. RefSeq lists it as uncharacterized. The transcript is spliced from 4 exons. The record is from RefSeq and is a predicted model, not a curated record. NCBI's taxonomy places the organism in Eukaryota, Metazoa, Chordata, Testudines, Emydidae.